This 253-nucleotide ribosomal RNA is filed under the name uncultured bacterium. RNAcentral's name for it is "partial 16S ribosomal RNA". It matches the Rfam family "Bacterial small subunit ribosomal RNA", at positions 524 to 776 of the family's 1533-position model. The record is from RNAcentral.
UACAGAGGGGGCGAGCGUUGUUCGGAAUUAUUGGGCGUAAAGCGCGUGUAGGCGGCUUAGUAAGUUGGGUGUGAAAGCCCUCGGCUUAACCGAGGAAGGGCGCCCAAAACUGCUUGGCUUGAGUACCGGAGAGGGUGGCGGAAUUCCCGGUGUAGAGGUGAAAUGCGUAGAUAUCUGGAGGAACACCGGUGGCGAAAGCGGCCCACUGGACCUUCUCUGACGCUGAGGUGCGGAAGCUAGGGUAGCAAACGGG